RNAcentral lists this non-coding RNA (92 nucleotides) under bovine gut metagenome. RNAcentral describes it as "SAM riboswitch (S box leader)". It matches the Rfam family "SAM riboswitch aptamer (S box leader)". From Rfam's summary of the family: The SAM riboswitch is found upstream of a number of genes which code for proteins involved in methionine or cysteine biosynthesis in Gram-positive bacteria. The SAM riboswitch acts at the level of transcription termination control. The record is from RNAcentral.
CUUAUCAAGAGUGAUGGAGGGGUUGGGCCCGAUGAAAUCCGGCAACCGGCAGAACCGGUGCUAAAUCCUACGGUGAAAGCCGAAAGAUGAGG